RNAcentral lists this non-coding RNA (30 nucleotides) under Rattus norvegicus (Norway rat). Lineage: Eukaryota; Metazoa; Chordata; Mammalia; Rodentia; Muridae. The record is from RNAcentral.
UGGGAUUAAAGGUUUUAUUUAUGUGCCUGC